Molecule: non-coding RNA, 105 nt
Filed under: Pseudomonas sp.
Lineage: Bacteria; Pseudomonadati; Pseudomonadota; Gammaproteobacteria; Pseudomonadales; Pseudomonadaceae
Also listed under: 1 other name
Description: SAH sequence
Rfam family: SAH (S-adenosyl-L-homocysteine) riboswitch aptamer
Source: RNAcentral
CUGUCCGAGGGGCGCUGCAGCAGGGAUUCCUGUCAGGCUCGGAUGGGGCGUUGCCCGCACGGUUGGUCCGUACGGGCUCUAAACGCACAACGGCGCCCAUUCGCA